CUGUCUUGUGUUUUGGUGACUGCCUUGCCAAACUGACAAAAACUGCAGCUGUGCAUCAGGAAACGCUAGGAAAAGGGAGGGGAAGAAUGGAACGCAACCUGUGGGGCGACAGGGUUAUCUCCGUGUUUCCAGAGAAGGUGAGAAGAGCAAACAUCGCAGCUACAGCGGAAAACCUAACACCUGGGGAUUGGGCCAUUUGAACUGACUGGAUGAACUACUAUGGGGUGGGGUUUUUGCUUGGGACACUUUUGCCUAUCGAUCUGAGCGGGAAAUGCUCAGAUCCUGUCUAGUAUGCCUGCUAUCAGCUUCUCCUAAUAAAAGAUCCUUUUGGAAGAAA
Long non-coding RNA from Crotalus tigris (Tiger rattlesnake), 337 nucleotides. RefSeq lists it as uncharacterized. Lineage: Eukaryota; Metazoa; Chordata; Lepidosauria; Squamata; Viperidae. The record is from RefSeq and is a predicted model, not a curated record. The transcript has 2 exons.